CUACCUCACUCUCCUCCCCCAAAUCACACGGCACUGCAGCCCUCCCCGUCGCCUCCUCUUACCUCAGUCUCCUCCCCCAAACUAGACGGCGUUGUAGCCCUCCCCGUCGCCGUCGCCCACUGCUCACCGGAGCCGGCGGCCGCCGCCGCGGGGGAGGCCGCGACGACGAGGAGCUCGGCGGCGAGCGCGUGGAGCCGGAACGGGGUGCGGUUGCGGCGACAUCCUCCAUGGCCGGCAGCAAGCGGAUCUGCUACAGCGUCGGUGAUGAAGACCUCCAUGGCUGGCGGUAGGGGUGCGCCGAGCACGUCGUCGUCCACAGCCGGCUGA
This 327-nucleotide long non-coding RNA is filed under the name Oryza sativa Indica Group (long-grained rice). RNAcentral describes it as "lncRNA OsLiXu_07g0010520". The record is from RNAcentral. Lineage: Eukaryota; Viridiplantae; Streptophyta; Magnoliopsida; Poales; Poaceae.